This is a long non-coding RNA of Diachasmimorpha longicaudata, 1323 nucleotides long. RefSeq lists it as uncharacterized. The transcript has 3 exons. The record is from RefSeq and is a predicted model, not a curated record. NCBI's taxonomy places the organism in Eukaryota, Metazoa, Arthropoda, Insecta, Hymenoptera, Braconidae.
GUAAGAGGUUGGGAUUUUAACCUGGGUAUUAUGGACGGUGGAUGGAUGAGGUGGUUAUCGCCGGGGGGGAAGCGUGAGGGUUAAUCUUCGGCGACGGUGAGACUUUGUAAGUGCAAGUUGUGAGUGGCUAUUGUCUUGACGAUGGCUUUUUGUUAUGUUGAACUUGGACUUUUCCCACACGAACAGGAAUAUUCAAUAAAUAUUGCGUACUGCGGUCAUUUUUACGGAACUGGGGAAGAACUUUUCGAGACGAUUACGGAGAAGACACGUCGAUUGUGACGGUUGUGGAUGAGGAAAUCGUUAAUGGUGUUUGGUCGAGGACAAUGGAUUGUUGACAACGUAGAAAUAUGAAGGGGCUGGAGAAAGUUGUAGGAUGUUAAGAAGCUUUUGUAUUUUUUUCUGAUUAUUUUUAUCCUUUUUGGACAGGGAAGUUAAUUUUAUAUGAAAAUUAAGUGGGACUCCAGUCGUCAGGUCCUCAUAAGCGGAUGAAUACCACGGCUUCCGCAGGCCCAAGGGAAGAUGCUCGACGUCUCAAGACCUCCUCACAAUUCAUGUCCGACGAAUUUUCACUGUCAUUCCACCAUUGGGACUCGCCGCUUCCAAAUAGAAUGAAAAUCAAAUUCGCAAGGAAGUAGAUUCCCGCCGACAUAUAGAAGACAAUCGCCCACUGGGCAGCAUUUUUCUGCAAGAAAAAAUGUUCGAUAAAAUAUUCGGCUCAAAAUUCCACCACAGACUACAUUUAACUCCUAGAAUACUCCUCCACAAUGACAGUAAAAUCCCAUCAAUAUCUUUACCGAUUCCGUAACGAUCUUCCCAACAACCAGAGGUGCCAGUAGAGAAACGACUGAUGCUGCUGAGUUUGUAAUCGAUGCAAGUAGUCCAGCAUAUUUGAGACUCAAAUCCAUAUGAUUUAUUUGGAAUCCGCAGAUAGCUCCUAUAUUGAGGGCGACUGCAAGGACCAACAGGACCACUGGGACUGUAGUGUCACCAGGUGAAACAAAGCAAAUACCAACGAGGGCAAGUGCAGGUCCCCAAUGACCAAUACUAUUGCACACUUUACGUGAUACUCCUCGGGAUACUCCUUUCCUCUCGCUCCAAUCUGACAACCAACUCACUGGGAACGUGAGGAUCAGCAGAGCUACGUAUGGAAGAGCUGAGGCGAUUCCAUUCUGUCGUUGGAAAAAAUUAUUCACUAUUAUAAAGUGGUAAAUAGUAAUCAAUCGACUACGAGGAGGAAAGGCUCAAUAAAAAUUAUGUGAAGGUUCGAUAAAUUGAAAGUGAGAACAAAAGGGCGUCCUGUACAUAAUUAAUCGGUAAUCCCUU